AUAGGGAAAACAGGAAAAAUAUAAAUGGGCAAUGUACAAUGCAAUUGCUCACCACCCACUGACCAAUACCCAGCCCGUUCCUGGCUAGCGAUCCUGAAAUAACCAAGAUUCUGCAAUUGCAGUCCCGGAAGUGAGAGCGAGCCCCUUCCUCAUCACCCCUCCUCUAUAAAGUGAGCAUGGCGUUCCACGAUAUGGAAUAUUUCAU
This is a long non-coding RNA of Tyto alba (common barn owl), 205 nucleotides long. RefSeq lists it as uncharacterized. The transcript has 3 exons. NCBI's taxonomy places the organism in Eukaryota, Metazoa, Chordata, Aves, Strigiformes, Tytonidae. The record is from RefSeq and is a predicted model, not a curated record.